GAAACAAAUAGAGUAAAUUACUAGAUAACCCAAUAAUAUAGGUCAACAUUACAUCAGUUACACAGUGCAGUAUCCAAAUGGUAGUAGACCUAGUUCGAUCGUUUCCGUUACUGUAUGUUCUAGAAACUGGAAACAGCUCACCAGUGCAGCAACCAAACUUUACAGUAUAGAUACUAAAUUUUAUUCUCCAGGAAAAACAUACUAACACCUAACAAAUGUACUCCAUGAAACUUGAGAGCCCGCCGUUCUGAAUUAUUUCCAAAUGCUAAUGGGAGAAACCAUGUUCAAUAGAUGAUAAGAUCGCAGCACAGGUAUCAGAAGGAAACUGUAUCACAUUUUCAUCAUGGUUGUCAUUUAGGAGAAAAUGUAGGUAACACAGAAUUUCUUGUUUCAAACAAUCACUACUAGGUCCCUAUAGCAAUUUGAUAAGAAAAGAAGCAACGGGUGAUGCUUGAAACAUGUCAAAAGAAGAUUAAAUAUUGACUUGACAAAUGUGAGGGAGAUCAAGGUGUCAUAUCUCAAGGAAGUGAAGAAUGACACUGACCACACUAGACAAGCAAAAUCGAAAAUGACAGGUAACAAGGAUAUAUGGAGAAGGAUUAAGUAUGGCCACUGUACACCCCUAUCUGUUGUAAAACAAUAAUAUGAAUAUUACCAUAGGAAAAUUUAAAUUCAUGAUUCAGAUAAUUGAUACCUUAUAGCUACCACAUAGGCACACACAAAAAACAUAUAUCUAUCAUCUACAGCUAAAGAAACUAGUCUAGGAUCAAGAGAUUAAGCUAAUAAAUCUACUCAAGGAUUGAGAAAUUAAGACCCAAUUUAUUCCUUUGCUGCUGCUAUUGCAAGCACUCAACUAACACAAACAGUGCUGCAAUAAUAUGCAAACCCUGCAGCACUAGAAACUGGGUUCAGUUCCAAAGCCUACAAAUAAAAACCUUUAUGUUUUUUUUAUUAUCAACAAACCAUUAAGGUUUUGACAGCUGAGUUGUCUUUCUAGACGGAAAUACCCAACUUAUUAUCUAACCCGAUUAAAAAACGAUUAAUGCAGUGUUGUUUCAUGAUAAAGGCAAGGCGCACUGCUUUACUGAAAGCAAUAGUUCAGACAAAGUACAGGUAACUGGCUGGGGUCACAAGCUUACAGAAUAUGAUUGUAUGUACGGUCCUGAACACUGAUCAAUUAUUUAUUUCGACCAGCAAAUAGCAAUGUCGACAUGGGCGUCACAGUCCAUAUGCACAAAUAACAAUGAAGUGAGGCCAGGACUCAAGACCGCACCCUGACUCCCUGAGGAGACCGCCAGCAAAGGAGUCAAGGGACGCUGAACCUGGCCAGUACCCUAGCAAACAGCAAACCCUCCCUGUCAGGGCGGAUGCAGCGAGGCCCCUUCCGCAAAUGCCAAAUCGUACGCCCGAUAGUUGACACAGGGGCACUGGGACCGCGAUUUCACGCGGGGAAAACAUUGCCGUGAUCGACUGAUGCCGCAUUGGUGGUAACCACUGCAGCAGCAAGCGCAGGAACAGAGAUCAAUCCACCCGCUCCCCCACCAAAAUGGCUAAUCAAUUCGGCUGGGGAGGGAGGCCAACCAGAUGGAUCGCGAUUAGCAAUGCGAGGUAACAUCGUAGGCCGGAUUCGUACGCGCGAGGCUAGGUGUGAGGGUGCGGCCAAUUAAUUCGAAAUUAACAUCGGGAGGGGAGAGGGAGAGGGAGAGAGGGAGGGAGGGGAGGGGGGAACCAAUACCGUGAUCACGCGCGGGGUUAGAGCAGGGCGUUGGCGGCGCGGCGGCGAGAAACGGCGGCCGGCGGGAGGAAGGAGGCGGGCGGCGAGAGCGCUUUUUGGUUGCGCCUCUCUCUUCCUCGGGGCGGAGCAGGGGGGCGCCGUCGUUUCGGCCAGGG
RNAcentral lists this long non-coding RNA (1890 nucleotides) under Triticum aestivum (bread wheat). RNAcentral describes it as "long non-coding RNA (TAES_LNC001666)". Lineage: Eukaryota; Viridiplantae; Streptophyta; Magnoliopsida; Poales; Poaceae. The record is from RNAcentral.